UCUUUCCCUAUCGGGCGACUUCCCUUUUAGUAGAUCGUGAGUGGGUCUGUCGUCCUCCUCAUUAUAGUCCUCCUAAAAUCAAUAGCAUUUCGUCGAAAUAUAUCCUGUCUUUUCACCUUAGUAGUCCUAUGCAUAGUCAGUACUAUAGCCCCAAUCAUGGCUACUAAUAAAAUAAGACUAGGAACCAAAAACCAGACGAAAUAGUAGGUAUAAAGUAAAUUGCCCAAUGUUUCCAAAUUAGUCCAACUUCGUACCUUUCCGGCAUAAACUGUAUAUCUCAGAGAGGUCGUAUUUCUUUGGGUUGGUAGUAAUGGAAUGGUUUCAUUAUCUAAAAUGAAGAACAUUUCCCACCAAAGGAUCAGUCCAAUAAUACCACUCACUGGUAAAUAGCGCAAGACUUCUUCGUGAAUCUCCGCUAUUUGAAUAUGGAACAUCAUAACAACGAAUAGGAAUAAAACGGCUAUAGCUCCUAUAUAAACUACUGGGAAGAUCAUAGCGGAGAAGUCGAGACCUAACAAAAGAAGUAAACCUGAAGUAUCGCGAAAGACUAGGAUGGGAAACAAAACGGAAUGUACCGGAUUUUUAGCACGUGCAACCAUCAAACCAGAGACCAAAGCAGGGCUCGACAAAACAGAAAGUAUCAUGGUACGUCGUCCUUCCCUGAAAUGGAACUUUCAUACUGGAGCAAGAACUAGCAUGAAAGUCGAUCUAUUACGACCAGCGCGGUUGUUCGUAUUUCAUUUUCUUUUUCCCUUCUUAGAAAGCACUCACUGAGUUACUUACGGAAUCUCAAAUCUCUCUCGACGCCGAGAAUUUUUUAUGUGUCCAGGUCGAUUAGAGGUUCGGUUUGCUUCUCCCCUUUAGCGUUCUGGGCCCAUGAAAAAAUAAAGAAACCCGAAAUCAAAAAGAAAGAAGAUAAAUUUUGCCAUGUUUCCCGAGAGAGGCCGCUUUCUCUCAGGCCAUCAGUCUUCUACUUCUAGUCGACUGCUCUAUGACGGGCUUCCCUGUUUCCUGGGCUCUGCUCGCUCGUCUACGCUCCGACCCAGCAAGUAAUAAUUGAAAUUUAUUUCACCUUGCCUGCUGCAUUAAGAUUUAAAACUUGUCGUCAAAAAACAGGCAAUCAAUCAGAAUUAAGAAAAAAAAAUUGAAAUAGUGACUAGAUGGAUCCCUAUCUUUAUCUCUAUCCACGGAGAUACCUAUCUAUAUGGAUAGAAAUCUAUCUAUGAAUCGAUCUAGACUAUCCUCUAUCCGGAUGGAUAUGUCCCUAUGAGCGACUACGCCGAUCUUUAUAUGUUUUGGCCACGUCCGUUUCCGCUCCGAAGAGGAAGGUUUAAAUCUUUCAAUCUUAUGUCGUGAGGGAUAUGACCUAUGUUAGGUCCAUAAGAUACCACAGCUUUUAGUGUUCUAUGAUUCACCUCCGAAUAAUGAGUAGGUAGUUCGAUCCUUUUGAUUCUUCUCUUCAUAGUAAACUGAUGGGGGGAUGCGGAGCAAUAGAUCGAAUUACUAUAUAAAGAAGAGUUGUAAACUAUAGGACUUCUUAUUCGAGUAGGAAGAUUUCGGUUUUUCUCGUUCCUUUUAUUCGAUAAGAAUAGGGAUUUGAAAUGAUACAAAUUUCUCUUCAUUCUGUUGUGCUCAGCGAAGGAACUGCCUAAGCAUACUUUUUCGGAUCCAAACUUCUUUGUUCUUUCUAAGUCUUCUUCUUGCAUAGAAGAACGCAACUGUUGCAAAAACCGGGAUUUUAGUAGUAGGCGGCAUCCCCUCUUAGUUUUGAGUAGGUGGAACCAUUCUGUUUUGGUUCUUCUCCACAUUCUUACCGGGUGAUCCAGGAAUUUGCCUAUUAUUUUUUCAACUGAUAUUUCGAUAUAGAAAGAUCUCCUUAUUUCUUCACCGCGGAUUCUUGCGUCAUUUUCUUGAAAAGAUAUUAGAUCACCGUGGGACACUUUCAAAUGAGUAAUGCUUACCAUUCCAUUAUUCACACAAACCCUUCGAUGACUUAUCGGCUGCCUUGCUUGAGGAAUAGUUUCACAAAAAUGGAGACGAACCGGAAUAACGUCCAAUCUUGUUUCUGGAUCAUCGAAAUAUAUCCUGUCUUUUCACCUUAGUAGUCCUAUGCAUAGUUAGUACUAUAGCCCCAAUCAUGGCUACUAAUAAAAUAAGACUAGGAACCAAAAACCAGACGAGAUAGUAGGUAUAAAGUAAAUUGCCC
RNAcentral lists this long non-coding RNA (2206 nucleotides) under Jatropha curcas. RNAcentral's name for it is "long non-coding RNA (JCUR_LNC000379)". The record is from RNAcentral. Lineage: Eukaryota; Viridiplantae; Streptophyta; Magnoliopsida; Malpighiales; Euphorbiaceae.